GCCGGGCACAGUGGCCCACACCUGUGAUCCCAGCGGCUCGGGAGGCUGAGGCAGGAGGAUCGCCAGGUGGAGGCCAGCCUCAGCAACUUAGUGAGGCCCUAAGCCACUCAGUGAGACCCUGUCUCUA
Molecule: small RNA, 127 nt
Filed under: Marmota monax (woodchuck)
Lineage: Eukaryota; Metazoa; Chordata; Mammalia; Rodentia; Sciuridae
Source: RNAcentral